GCCGAGGUGGUGAAACUGGUAAACACGCUAUCUUGAGGGGGUAGUUCCUAUUUUUAGGUAUGCGGGUUCAAAUCCCGUCCUCGGUA
RNAcentral lists this transfer RNA (86 nucleotides) under Buchnera aphidicola str. Bp (Baizongia pistaciae). RNAcentral's name for it is "tRNA-Leu (GAG) (tRNA-Leu-GAG-1-1)". It matches the Rfam family "tRNA". From Rfam's summary of the family: Transfer RNA (tRNA) molecules are approximately 80 nucleotides in length. Their secondary structure includes four short double-helical elements and three loops (D, anti-codon, and T loops). Lineage: Bacteria; Pseudomonadati; Pseudomonadota; Gammaproteobacteria; Enterobacterales; Erwiniaceae. The record is from Rfam by way of RNAcentral.